GCCGGGAUGGUCUAAUCGGUUAAGGCGUCGCCCCGGACAGGCGAAGGUUGCGGGUACAAUCCCCGCUUCUGGCC
This 74-nucleotide transfer RNA is filed under the name Ixodes scapularis (black-legged tick). RNAcentral's name for it is "tRNA-Ser for anticodon GGA". It matches the Rfam family "tRNA". From Rfam's summary of the family: Transfer RNA (tRNA) molecules are approximately 80 nucleotides in length. Their secondary structure includes four short double-helical elements and three loops (D, anti-codon, and T loops). The record is from RNAcentral. Lineage: Eukaryota; Metazoa; Arthropoda; Arachnida; Ixodida; Ixodidae.